Amphiprion ocellaris (clown anemonefish) is the source of this 814-nucleotide long non-coding RNA. The record is from Ensembl. Lineage: Eukaryota; Metazoa; Chordata; Actinopteri; Pomacentridae.
GUCAGAUGAGGCCUCAGUUGGAAGCUUGGAUAUCUCUACACAGGUCAGGGAGGAUGAUUAUGAUUCACAUAUGCGGUUGUAAAUAAGGAGUUGUGACGUCUCCUCCUCUGGUGAUCUCCAAUUCUUUGAAAAAAAAACCCCUACAGGUUAAAAAUCUACUAAACAAGUUCGCAACAACAAGGAUCCUUCUCCACAGGCCCUCCAGGCUCUCCAUGACAUUGGCGUGAGUGAGAGUCCCGCCUACGAUUACGUCCCGCUACUACUUAUGCACCAGACUGACAAGCUUGCGUUGGAGAGAGGUGUGAGGAAGAGGGGUGGAGGGGGAGACAAGCCCCUCGCUCUGAGUGCUAAUGGAUGAUUGGAGGCAGGAUAGGAGGCUUCAGUUCUCUCUUUCAUCCUGGCCUGCUUUUGACCCGGAGAGCCAGCAGUAAUCGGUCCGGCAGAGGGGGUAAUCAUUCCCCGCGUGCAGACUCUGAUAAGUUGGAACACCUUCCCUCAGCAGCGGAGGGAGCUCCCGCGGCCUCCCUGGUUAUCGCUGUCCCCGGCACCCCUUCAAGAGGCUGCGUUGCCUCCUCUCCCAGGCUCAAAGGCUCCAUCAACAGCAGCCUCUCUGCUCUGCUUUCAUCUGACAGAGCACAUAAGCCGGUGAAAGGGAGGAAAAAUAAACUGGUUCUAUCUCUCAAAUUGUGAUCUUAUGAAUUCGAUUUGGCCACUUUUAAAAUGUAACUGCACAAUUUGUUAUUUUCCCCUGUUUCCCUUUUCUCUGUUAAUAUCUGUGGCGAUAAAUUGCUUCGAUUGACAGGCUCAUUUUUUU